This 518-nucleotide long non-coding RNA is filed under the name Numida meleagris (helmeted guineafowl). RNAcentral describes it as "lncRNA (ENSNMEG00000000249.1)". The record is from RNAcentral. Lineage: Eukaryota; Metazoa; Chordata; Aves; Galliformes; Numididae.
CUUCAGUGCCCUGAGCCCCAUAGGAUGUGGAACUCCACCCCAGAUCCAGCUCAGGGAUUCACAGUGCUGGAAUUGUAACACAGCUAUUUAUGAAGCAGGACUACCAUUAUCAACUAGAGCUAGGGUUGACAGCAGGACUGCAGAAUCCAGAACACCACCAAGAAGAAUCAAACAAGGCAGCAGGGAGUCCUAAAGAAAAUUCAGUGUUUUAUAUGUUUUACGUACUUAAUUUGUUGGUUUAGGAUCACUGGUUGAGAGGUUGGGUCUUCAUUUUUUAAUGGCAGCACUAAUCACUUGUUAAGAUGCUUUCAAAUUUCAUUAGAUAUUGUUUUCAUGUAUUAUACAUAGACUUGCUUGAGCACGUCCAGAGGAGGGCCACAAAAAUGAUCCCAGGGAUGGAACACCUCCUUACAAGGACAGGCUGAGAGCUGGGGCUGUGCAGCCUGGAGAAGGGAAGGCUCCAGGAGACCUGAGAGCAGCCUGUCAGUAUCUUAAGGGGGGCUAUAAGAAGGAAGGGA